RNAcentral lists this ribosomal RNA (253 nucleotides) under uncultured prokaryote. RNAcentral describes it as "partial 16S ribosomal RNA". It matches the Rfam family "Bacterial small subunit ribosomal RNA", at positions 524 to 776 of the family's 1533-position model. The record is from RNAcentral.
UACGAAGGGUGCAAGCGUUACUCGGAAUUACUGGGCGUAAAGCGUGCGUAGGUGGUUUGUUAAGUCUGAUGUGAAAGCCCUGGGCUCAACCUGGGAACUGCAUUGGAUACUGGCGAGCUCGAGCGAGGUAGGGGUCGUGGGAACUUCCGGUGGAGCGGUGAAAUGCGUUGAUAUCGGAAGGAACGCCGGUGGCGAAAGCGCACGACUGGACCUCUCCUGACGCUGAGGCGCGAAAGCCAGGGGAGCAAACGGG